UCCGGGGUCAGAAUGAAUCCGACUUAGAAACUAGGCUGCUCCAGGUCAAAGUGGGUCCGACUUAAACCGAACUGGGUCCCGUGUGAGACCUCGGUGAAUUAAAAUUUGUUUUAAGGCUGAACAAGUAGGUUGAGUUUACCACAGAUAGUCUUGAAUUACAGCGGCUGCAGUGGAGAAAUUUGAACCGUCUUAGACAGUGCACAUCAUGGAUUGCCUAUGCUGCAGAUGGACUGCUCCCACUGCUUCGUCUUUGACUUGCCUCUACCAGUCACCGAUGCCCUUUUUGUGUGGGUGAAUCAUAGGCCAUACACUGUCAUCUCUGUGCAACAUUCUUGAGUUUGGUGCAUACCUGUGAUUGUCAAGGUUCUGCAAUGGGAGGGAUUGGCUAAGGAAGAAAAGUUCAAAACCACCCGCGGAGAGAGUUCAGAUGAAGACUUGGACCCUGGGGAGUUCUCCUUGAUGGGGAACUCAGCUGCUGAGAAGUUGCUCAAGGCUUAGGUGAGAAGGAAAAGACUGCUCAGGUCAUGACCAGAGAGCUCGGUUUUGGAGCCCCAGACUGCUGGUGAGCUACACAUACAACAGCCCAUGCUGUCUCAUUUGUCAUUGUUUUUUGUGUGCAGAGCUGCUUCAAGAACUUCAUUUUUCAAAAAGUGAUUGGCAAGGCCUUCCUUGGGCAUGCUCUCUUCCCUGCCUAUAACACAGAGUGCCAGCACAGUCCCUCUAAUAUUCAUCUGUGUGUGUUAUAGACAAGAUUUUAACACUUCUUUAAUUAAAAAUAGUGACAUAAAAUAUU
Non-coding RNA from Vicugna pacos (alpaca), 793 nucleotides. NCBI's taxonomy places the organism in Eukaryota, Metazoa, Chordata, Mammalia, Artiodactyla, Camelidae. The record is from RefSeq and is a predicted model, not a curated record.